GCCUUCAUGGUGCAAUGCUAGCAUACUCGCCUCGUAUUCGAGAUGUCCAGGUUCGAGUCUCGAUGAGAGCA
RNAcentral lists this transfer RNA (71 nucleotides) under Stegodyphus mimosarum. It matches the Rfam family "tRNA". Rfam says of the family: Transfer RNA (tRNA) molecules are approximately 80 nucleotides in length. Their secondary structure includes four short double-helical elements and three loops (D, anti-codon, and T loops). Lineage: Eukaryota; Metazoa; Arthropoda; Arachnida; Araneae; Eresidae. The record is from Rfam by way of RNAcentral.